Molecule: long non-coding RNA, 4460 nt
Organism: Cucumis sativus (cucumber)
Lineage: Eukaryota; Viridiplantae; Streptophyta; Magnoliopsida; Cucurbitales; Cucurbitaceae
Exons: 2
Source: RefSeq, a predicted model, not a curated record
CUUUCACCCUGAUGUGAUGUCAUUCUUUUUACCCAAAAGUCCAUCAUUUUCUUGCUAUUUUGAUUGAUUCAAAAUUGGGGACUAUUAUAGUUCUCACCGUAGUUGGUAGCUAGAAAACUCAUGUUAACUCGGUUAAAUAGCUAUUCAACAUUGGGUUUUGAACUUGUGAGACAUGAUUGAACAUAAGAGUCCUUGCUUUUACUUCCAAAUAAUGGGGAGACCGGUUAUGUCUUUUGGCUAUUUUGCACUGAAAAAUGGAUGCUUCAAGAUCUCUACAUGAAAUCAUCUAUGUUAACCCUAAUUUUUCACCCACUUCCCUGUUUAAGUCAUGCGAGUAUAGUUUCCCAUUCUCAAUAAUUAAUACUGAUUUUCAAGGUAAAACUGGAACUGGGUUUAACAUAUCCUCUUUCUUACUUUACGAUAUAUUCUUUUUGAAAAGGAAGUCUCGUCAUUGAAUUAAAGAAAUGAGACUAAUGCUCAAGGUACAAAAAUAGAUAUAAUGGACAAGAAAGAAGACGAGUCCUCUACUUCUUUGAACUAUCUAACUUAAAAGACAAGCCCCUCUACUUUUUUGUGACCCCCGGUGGGUUGUUUCUUUUCUAAGACAAUUUCUUUCAGUCUGAUUCUAUGUUGAUUGUGCUUUUGUGCUUGCCAACUAUCUGUUUCUUUUUGGUGUGUCCUAGAGAGGAGAUUACUUCAACAAUGUUGGAUAUGUAUUCCAUUGAACGUUAAAUCAUGAUCUCAUUCAAUUCUAAUUGUUGAGGUGGAAAUCGAGUACCACAAGCCAAAGAACUUGAAGCAAAUGACGGAGAAAAUGUGAUUCUUGAACGAUUCUCUUUGGAAGGUGGUUUUUUAGUGAUUGGUCCUUUGCAUGCGGUUUUGAAUGAGCUUGAAGGAAACAUCUUUUUGGGUUUACGGUCGAUGGAGAGGCUCAUCUUUUCGUGGUCUCAAAAUUAUCCCUUUGAUCAUAAUCAUUUUGUUCAAAAAGUAGGAGGUUGGUUUGGUCAUACUUUGUUGAACAAGUUUAUUUCAAUCCUUGUUUGCUUCAUGACUUUUUUCUUUUUAAAACUGGAAUGAUGCCUGAACUCCAGGAUGAGAAGAAUAGAAGAGUGCCAUGACAUGUAAUCGUACUCCAAUAAGAAACUUCUGAGCAUAUUCAAGAACGAGAGUCAUACUUGGCUUUGAAACUCUUGAGAAAACGUGAACAAAGGAUUGAUGUCUCACAGUAUGCCAAUCAACAAAUCUUAGAAUCCAGUCUGUUGAAGCUCGAAACUUUGUUAGUCUUGUAUUACCACUUUCAUCCCUUCCAUUUUUUUACCAAGAACUUUUGUUAUGGUUCAUGAACAAUUUCAGAAGUUUAGUCAAUAAACAAUCGUAUUCCAUUCUUUUACCAAGAACUUUUGGGAAACCAUUGUUGUAUGUUGCUACAACUGGGGACAUUUUGUAUAUUGUUAAGAAAUUAUAUUUAAAGCUUUAGAAUGCUUCCCGCAUCUACACUUUUACAGAAACAAGUCCAUGAGUGCAAGGAAGGGACCAUGGAUGUUACAUCCUUCUUUAACAAAUUAUCUCUAAUUUGGCAGGAAAUGGAUUUAUACGGAGAAAUUGUUUGGGAUUGUCUUUACGGAGGUGUCCGAUACUUCAGAAUAGGGGAGGUUGACCUGUAUAUGAUUUCCUUGUUGGUCUGAAUUCCAAGUUUGACUUGGUUCGUGAUCGAAUACUGGGUCAAAGACCUAUCUCGAUCUUAAUGGAUUUGUGUUCAGAACUUCGUUUAGAGGAAGACCAUACAAGUGCGAUGAACAUCGUCACUAUUCCGUCUAUUGAUUCUGUUGUCUUCAUUGUAAAGUCCAACUCUAACAAUGCUAUGUAGAAUGGGAAACUUGUCCUAGCUUGUGAGCAUUGCAAGUAACCGUGACCUUUAUGAGUGAUUCUGCCGCUGCUCCAUUGACCUCAAUCUUUACAAGAAAUCACAGUGAUCCUGGUAUGCCCUCACUUAGAGCCACUACACAAGGGCUUGAGCUCGGAGAGGAUGAUUGGCACUGUUUGGCCCAGUAGGGGACUCAAAUUCCUUGAUGAUGAUGCUUUCUUUAGGUCCUAUUCUAGGACUAGUUUAUUGUCUUCUUAUUUUUCCAUUUUUGAAACGGUUGUACGUUGUGGCAUUUCAUCUUGGCCAUCCAAAUUUUCAAUAUAUGAAAUAUUGUUUCCUCACUCGUUUUCUAAAGUGGAUGUUUCGUCAUUGUCUUGUGAUGUUUGUGUUCGUGCGAAACAACCUCAAGUCCCAUUUCCUUUCCAACCCUACAAACCUACUAAACCUUUUACUCUUAUUAAUAACGAUGUUUGGAGGCCCUCCCAGGUCACUACUACCUUGUGGAAAUGUUGGUUUGUUACCUUUAUCGAUGAUCAUACCCGUCUCAAUUGGGUCUUUCUUCUCCUCACUGAUAAAUAUGAGGUUUCAUCGAUUUUCCAACAGUUCUACCCCACCAUUUAAACCUAGUUCAACGUUAAAUUCGCCAUUUUACGUGACAAUAGUCGGGAGUACUUAAAUCAUAUCCUUAAUGGGUUUUUGUGCUCUAAAGAGAUUGUCCACCAAAGUUUCUAUGCUUAUGCCCCUUAGCAAAACGGGGUAUCUAAACGAAAAAACCAUCACCUCCUUGAGGUACUUGAUCUCUUGUGUUGUUUACCUCUCUCAUCUUACUUAGAUUCUAUUCUCACUACGACUCAUCUAAUUAAUCGAAUGUCAUCUUGUGUUUUCCAUCUCCAAACUCCUCUAAGUGUCUCAAGGAGUUCUACCCUGCCAUCGACUUAUAUCUGAUAUUCCUCUUCAGAUGUUUGGAUGCACUGCAUUUGUGCACAAUUACGGUCUUAAUCAAACCAAAACUUGUGAUUUUCGCUAAGCGCACAAGACAAUGGGAUGUAAAUGGAUAUUCACUCUGAAGUAUUAAUCAGACUGAACAUUAGACCGAUAUAAGGGCAAGUUAGUUGCAAAAGGGUUCACUCAGAUAUAUGGAAUGGACACCUUAGAGACGUUUCCUCUUGUGACGAAGUUAAACACAAUCAGGUUUCUUCUACCUGUUAGAGUCAAUUAGGAGUGGCCUCUUCACCAACUUGAUGUAAACCAUCCUAAAAGGUAAUUUGGAAGAAGAAGUGUACAUGAGUCCCCCUCUAGAAUUUGAGGUCAAAAAUUUAACCAUUAAUUUUGUGAACUUCGAAAAUAUUUCUAUGGACUGAAACAAUCUUCUAGGGCUUGGUUUGAUUGAUUCACCACAUUUGUUAAGUCCCAAGGUUACACUCAUGGACACUUUGAUCAUGUGCUGUUUAUGAAGAGUUUUGAUUCUGGAAAAAUUGUUGUGUUGAUUGUUUAUGUCGAUGAUAUUGUCUUAUCAAGGGAUGAUACUGCUGAGAUUAUCAGGUUAAAAAGGAAGAUGGGUUACGAGUUUGAGAAAGACCUGUGGAAUCUAAAUUGGAGGUUGCAUGAUGAAGGGAAGGAAUUUCGGUUUCACAAAGGAAAUAUACACUUAACUUGUUGAAGGAAACAUGUAUAACCGGUUGCCGUUCAGUCGAUACCCCUAUGGAGUUCAAUGUAAAAAUGGGAAGUUCGGUGACAAGUUCCUCUUAAUAAAGAAAAGUAUCAGCUGUUAGUGGGAAAGUUGAAUUAUCUAUCCCAUUCUAAACCAAAAUUCUCCUAUUUAGUAAGUAUAAAGAGUCCGUUUAUGCAAGCUUUGUACGAAGAGCACAUGGGAGCUGUAAACUGUAUUAUGCGAUAUUUGAAAACUACUCAAGGAAUAGGUUUGAUGUUUAGGAAGGCUAGCAAAAGUGCAUUGAGGCCUAUACCAACGCAGAUUGGGUAGGAUCGGUGACUGAUAGAAGGUCUACUUUGGGAUAUUGUACCUUUGUGUGGGACAACCUUGUAACUUGGAGGAGCAAGAAGCAUGGGGUUGUUGCUAGGAGUGGUACGGGAGUUGAAUACCGAGCUGAGUUUGGAAAUUGUGAAGAGAUUUGGUUACAAAAUGUCUUGUCUCACCUUCACCAAGGAUGGUGAGUUACCUGUGAAGCUAUUAUGUGAUAUCAAAGUCGCUAUCACCAUAACUAAUAACCCUGUACAACAUGACAAAACUAAACGUGUGGAAAUUGACAAACACUUCAUUAGUGAGAAACUUGACAACGACAAUAUGUGUAUUAUGUACAUUCCAUCAAAUCAACAAAUUGCUGAUGUUCUUAUUGAAGGGUUAACCAGGCAGAAUUUCGAUUCAUGUAUUAGCAAGUUGGGUUUGAUUGACAUCUACGCUGCAACUUGAGGGGGAGUGUUGUAACUAAUUGUACUAAGGGUAUUUGCGUAAUCUUUUACCCUUGUUUAUAUCCUUUUUUGUCAAGGCCCAUUAUGGCCUAUAAAUAUUCCCCCUUGUAUUGUUUUGAUAAUAAGAAAAAUAUACGAAAGACUCAUAUCGUGGUUUUUUCUUCCUAAA